RNAcentral lists this ribosomal RNA (253 nucleotides) under uncultured bacterium. RNAcentral's name for it is "partial 16S ribosomal RNA". It matches the Rfam family "Bacterial small subunit ribosomal RNA", at positions 524 to 776 of the family's 1533-position model. The record is from RNAcentral.
UACAGAGGGUGCAAGCGUUAAUAGGAAUUACUGGGCGUAAAGCGCACGUAGGUGGCGACGUAAGUCGGGUGUGAAAGCCCCGGGCUCAACCUGGGAAUUGCAUUCGAGACUGCAUUGCUGGAGUACGGAAGAGGAGGGCGGAAUUCCCGGUGUAGCGGUGAAAUGCGUAGAUAUCGGGAGGAACAUCAGUGGCGAAGGCGGCCCUCUGGUCCAGUACUGACACUCAAGUGAGAAAGCGUGGGGAGCAAACAGG